CCUUCACAAUGCACGAAAGUGUGAUGAGGGUACUCCGAGUGCGCAUACAUUGUAUGUGCUUUUCUGCAGCGUAAAUAGUUGCAGGAAUAAGGGCUGGGCAAGACCGGUGCCAGCCGCCGCGGUAACACCGGCAGCCCUAGUGGUGGCCGCUUUUAUUGGGCCUAAAGCGUCCGUAGCCGGACAGGCGAGUCUUUGGGUAAAUCCUACGUCUUAAGCGUGGGAAUUCUAAAGAUACUACCUGUCUUGAGGCCGGGAGAGGCUGGAGGUACUCCUGGGGUAGGGGUAAAAUCCUAUAAUCCUGGGGGGACCACCGAUGGCGAAGGCAUCCAGCUGGAACGGGCCUGACGGUGAGGGACGAAACCCAGGGGAGCGAGCCGGAUUAGAUACCCGGGUAGUCCUGGGCGUAAAUGAUGUGGGCUUGGUGUGAGCGCAUCGACGAGGUGCGCUUGUGCCGUAGGGAAGCCGUUAAGCCCACCGCCUGGGGAGUACGGUCGCAAGGCUGAAACUUAA
RNAcentral lists this ribosomal RNA (510 nucleotides) under uncultured Methanothermobacter sp. Its description in RNAcentral is "bacterial SSU rRNA". It matches the Rfam family "Archaeal small subunit ribosomal RNA", at positions 347 to 859 of the family's 1478-position model. The record is from RNAcentral. Lineage: Archaea; Methanobacteriati; Methanobacteriota; Methanobacteria; Methanobacteriales; Methanobacteriaceae.